This 442-nucleotide ribosomal RNA is filed under the name uncultured bacterium. RNAcentral's name for it is "partial 16S ribosomal RNA". It matches the Rfam family "Bacterial small subunit ribosomal RNA", at positions 338 to 795 of the family's 1533-position model. The record is from RNAcentral.
CCUACGGGAGGCAGCAGUGGGGGAUAUUGCACAAUGGAGGAAACCCUGAUGCAGCGACGCCGCGUGGGCGAAGAAGUAUCUCGGUAUGUAAAGCCCUAUCAGCAGGGAAGAAGAAAUGACGGUACCUGAGUAAGAAGCACCGGCUAAAUACGUGCCAGCAGCCGCGGUAAUACGUAUGGUGCAAGCGUUAUCCGGAUUUACUGGGUGUAAAGGGAGCGCAGGCGGCACGGCAAGCCUGAUGUGAAAGCCCGCGGCCCAACCGCGGGACUGCAUUGGGAACUACCGGGCUGGAGUGCCGGAGAGGUAGGCGGAAUUCGUGGUGUAGCGGUGAAAUGCGUAGAUAUUAGGAGGAACACCAGUGGCGAAGGCGGCUUACUGGACGGUGACUGACGCUGAGGCUCGAAAGCGUGGGGAGCAAACAGGAUUAGAUACCCUGGUAGUC